RNA transcript from Colius striatus (speckled mousebird), 3475 nucleotides. It is a transcript of the gene named histone H3, with no coding region annotated. Lineage: Eukaryota; Metazoa; Chordata; Aves; Coliiformes; Coliidae. The record is from RefSeq and is a predicted model, not a curated record. The transcript is spliced from 2 exons.
CGUGUUGAAUCCGGCCAAUCGGAGAGCGGAAAAGGGCUAUAAAUACCGGCGCCGCAACAGAGCUGCUUCAUUCCACGGCGCAGCUUACGAGAGCCUCUUGUUGUGUCUCUGAGCCAUGGCCCGCACGAAGCAGACGGCGCGUAAGUCGACGGGCGGGAAGGCGCCCCGCAAGCAGUUGGCCACCAAGGCGGCCCGCAAGAGCGCGCCGGCCACGGGCGGCGUGAAGAAGCCGCACCGCUACCGGCCCGGCACGGUGGCGCUGCGCGAGAUCCGGCGCUACCAGAAGUCCACGGAGCUGCUGAUCCGCAAGCUGCCCUUCCAGCGCCUGGUGCGCGAGAUCGCGCAGGACUUCAAGACCGACCUGCGCUUCCAGAGCUCGGCCGUGAUGGCGCUGCAGGAGGCGAGCGAGGCCUACCUGGUGGGGCUCUUCGAGGACACCAACCUCUGUGCCAUCCACGCCAAGCGCGUCACCAUCAUGCCCAAGGACAUCCAGCUGGCCCGUCGCAUCCGCGGCGAGCGCGCCUGAGCCUCCUGUCUAAGGUCUGUUGUGAUCCUUCAUCUGCACACCCUAAAGGCUCUUUUAAGAGCCACCACUUAACACAAAAGAGCUGUCACACAGUCUCAAUUUCUGAAGUGGGUUUAAGGUAGUGUAGUUUUUCUGUAAGUCAUUUUCAAGUACCUAUACUCAGUAUUUAGCUUGCAGUCACACCCUCCCUAGCUCUGCUCAGCUGUUUUCUUGGGAUGCAGACUGUUGCCAUCAGAUAACUGCAGUUCCAGAGAAAACACAUUUAUAAACUUAACCUAAUUGAGUUGUCUGAAACUGCUUGAUAAUUUUUAAUAGGCUUUUUCAACAACUAUGUAGGGAGGGGCAGAGAAAAUGUAACUGCAUAAAUUAGAAAAAUAAUUGCUCAGAGAACACUAAUGAGGAAUAGUUUUUAUUUAGUACUGCCAAGAGCUACAGUGUUUUAAAAGAAUAAACCCAAAAUGUAUUAUGUAGAGUCCUAGAAUAAUCCUGUACCCUUGACAUUUCACCACUGUUUUUUCCAGUUAAAGAUUUUUUUUUAAUGGAGCAGUCCAGAUUUUUCAUUUGAAGCCAUGUGGAAGGCACAACCUGAGUUGGUAUUGGAAGGUAAGCAUCAAAGUAUACUCAAUAAAAUCAAUUUCUUACUAGGAUAUAGUCUAAAAAUGUACACACUUAAGAUGGCUGAGAGCCCUUAAACAAAAAAAUGCUGACAAGCAUGAUGCAAGGGCCAAAUGGGAAAUAAAUUAGUAAUAAUUAGUAUUAGUUACUGGAACCUUGUAUUUCAUUUUCCUUUGCUUUAUGACUUGAAGGAAAGGCUAGAAUAGAUGACAAAGGAGAACAUGGAAAAAGGAAAGAUAAUCUGCUUGAUGUUUCUGGGACAUCUCACCUCAAAUUUUUAAAAAUUGAUAGAGAGCAAUGCCACAGGGAAAUGUUUUGUGGCUUUUUAGGGGGGGAAAGAAGCAGUGGUCAGACCUCAGCAGCUUUGUAAAUAAUGAGAGGCCUAUAGGAAAGGGGCUUAGGUUUGAGAACCAAGGCAACCAUUUUGUUUUUGUUGAUAAAAAGGUGGAGGGAUCAGAAAAUUAGCAUUUACUGGAAUUUAGUUGCUUCAAUAAAAUUAUUUGGUCAGGAAAUUACAGUGUUUUGAUUAGUUGUGUCAGGUCUUUCAGACUCUAUUGGUUGGAAUAUUUAAGAGAAAUCACCUUUCAAUUCACUACUAAAAAGACUCAGAUUCUUCUGGAUUUUUUUAGGUCUUUUGUUAUCACAACAGCUUUUCCUCUGCCCUUGAUAACAGUGCCUGGCCUGUCUCACACACUUCUGUAAAUGUUACCAAAUUGUUCUGAAAUUAAAAGUCAGGUAUUGGAGGAUGACACCUGUGGAACCCUACAAGUUAAAACAUGGUAGAUACAAGUAACAGCCAUACCAUAAUGAUUCGUGACAUUUCUAUAAAGUUGGAAGUGCUCCCACUGGAAUAGCACCGAUACCGUCUAUUAGCUGAGUUUGAAUGGAUUUUUACAAUUCUAAAAUUAACAAUACGGCUGAGUUCAGUAGGCUCCAUCCAGUCGUUAAUUGUUGUUCCACAUCGGCGGUGUAUUAUUGACUGAAAUGUGCCCCCGUGGCCAAGAAGGCCAAUGGUAUCCUGCGAUGCAUCAUGAAGAGUGUUACCAGCAGGUCAAGGGAGGUUCUUCUCACCCCCUACUCUGCUCUGGUGAGGCCUCAUCUGGAGUACUGUGUCCAGUUCUGGGCUCCCCAGCUCAAGAGGGACAGGGAAGUGCUGGAGGGAGUCCAGUGCAGGGCCAUCAAGGUGAUCAGGGGACUGGAACAUCUUUCACACAAGGAAAGGUUUCAGGAACUGGGGCUGUUCAGUCUGUAGAAGAGGAGACUGAGAGGGAAUCUUAUUAACAUUUACAAAUAUCUAAAUGAUUGGAUGUUAGAAGAUUGAGGCAUCCUUUUUUUCUACAGUAGCUAGCGACAGGACAAGGGGUAAUGCGAUGAAGCUGGAGCACAAAAAGUUCCACUUAAAUAUAAGGAAAAACUAUUUCACUGUUCAGGUGAGGGAGCCCUGGCACAGGCUGCCCAGAGGGUUUGUGGAGUCUCCUUCCUUGGAGGUCUUCGAGACCCUCCUGGACAUGUUCCUAUGCAACCUGAUCUAGGUGAACCUGCUUCUGCAGGGAGGCUGGACUAGAUAAUCUCUAAAGGUCCCUUCUAACCCCUACCAUUCUGUGAUUCUAUUAAAUGCCUUAGCUUUGUAUCUAGAUACCACUUUGAGGUUAGGGAAGGUUGAUAUGGCUAAAACCUCAGACUUGUUUCACUUGUAAAUAAAUAGUGAGGUCUAGAGGUGAAAAUGACUUCACUGAAACAGAAACUAGUGCCUGCUUAGAGUGCGCUCCCAGGCUCUGUAAGGAGCCCUCACUGACCCUGUACUGGAAUCUGCUCCCAAAAGCACAUGAGAAAAUCAUCAUGACCAAGAAAUUGUUAAUAUCUUUCCUGUAUUCCCAGGUCUUGCAUCACUGAUGUCUAGUAAAAUUUCUAAAUACAACUGGGUAGGAUCUUACAACUUUAAGAAAGUGAUACUCAUUUCAAGAGAGUUAUCUUUCUUUUGAUUAUUUUUAAUUCUUAUUUUUCUAGCUAAUAUUAAAUAUACUCUAAGACAAAUGAAGCAGUAGUAACAAUAACUGAAGUUAUGCUUUUGUCAUCUGAAUCUGAAGAGAACACAAAACUUUUAUUCUCUAUUGGAAGAUUUCCUUCACCCCUCAGGCUCUGAGUGCAAAGGCUCGUCUCACAUUAUGCUGCCUUUCAAUACAAUGAGAAAUCUCAUUUAUCUUUGAUUCCAAAACUUGACAACCUAACAUUUUUAUUCUCCUUUGGUUUGCCUUCAUUCUGAUUCACUAGUAACUUGGAAAAGUUUUUAAUUUACAUGCAAAUAAACAGAGGUAUAACCUCUCUCUAAAAUAA